CCCUUAGAUGUUCUGGGCCGCACGCGCGCUACACUGAUGCAUUCAACGAGUUUCUUCCUGGUCCGAGAGGAAUGGGUAACCUUUUGAAAGUGCAUCGUGAUAGGGAUAGACUAUUGCAAUUAUUGGUCUUCAACGAGGAAUUCCUAGUAGAAGUAGUUCAUCAGACUGCAUCGAUUACGUCCCUGCCCUUUGUACACACCGCCCGUCGCUCCUACCGAUUGAAUGCUCAGGUGAGCCAUUCGGACUUUCAUCAUGCUGGUUUCCAGUUUUGAUGAAGGAAAGUCUUGCGAACCUUAUCAUUUAGAGGAAGGAGAAGUCGUAACA
This 324-nucleotide ribosomal RNA is filed under the name uncultured eukaryote. RNAcentral describes it as "partial 18S ribosomal RNA". It matches the Rfam family "Eukaryotic small subunit ribosomal RNA", at positions 1470 to 1796 of the family's 1831-position model. The record is from RNAcentral.